Molecule: ribosomal RNA, 254 nt
Filed under: uncultured bacterium
Lineage: Bacteria
Description: partial 16S ribosomal RNA
Rfam family: Bacterial small subunit ribosomal RNA
Source: RNAcentral
UACGGAGGGUGCAAGCGUUUGUCCGGAUUUAUUGGGUUUAAAGGGUGCGUAGGCGGCCCUGUAAGUCAGUGGUGAAAUACUGCAGCUUAACUGUAGCAUUGCCAUUGAUACUGUAGGGCUUGAGUACAGAUGAGGUAGGCGGAAUUGAUGGUAUAGCGGUGAAAUGCAUAGAUACCAUCAAGAACACCGAUUGCGAAGGCAGCUUACUAGGCUGUAACUGACGCUGAGGCACGAAAGCGUGGGGAUCGAACAGG